This 235-nucleotide ribosomal RNA is filed under the name uncultured bacterium. RNAcentral's name for it is "partial 16S ribosomal RNA". It matches the Rfam family "Bacterial small subunit ribosomal RNA", at positions 15 to 235 of the family's 1533-position model. The record is from RNAcentral.
GAUCAUGGCUCAGGAUGAACGCUGGCGGCGUGCUUAACACAUGCAAGUCGAACGAGGAAUUUCAAAUGAGGCUUCGGCGGAUUUUAAAAUUCUUAGUGGCGGACGGGUGAGUAACGCGUGGGCAACCUGCCCUGUACAGGGGGACAACAGCUGGAAACGGCUGCUAAUACCGCAUAAGCGCACAGCAUCGCAUGAUGCUGUGUGAAAAACUCCGGUGGUACAGGAUGGGCCCGCG